This is a small nuclear RNA of Crocodylus porosus (Australian saltwater crocodile), 168 nucleotides long. Its record names the gene U1. It matches the Rfam family "U1 spliceosomal RNA". Rfam says of the family: U1 is a small nuclear RNA (snRNA) component of the spliceosome (involved in pre-mRNA splicing). The record is from Ensembl. Lineage: Eukaryota; Metazoa; Chordata; Crocodylia; Crocodylidae.
AUUAGUGCAUGUGUAGAUGGGUUUGCUGUGAUCAACAAGGUGGUUUUCCCAGGGUGAGGUCUGUCCCUUGCACUCUGGGCAGGUCAACCUCUGACAGUUUCCCCAAAUGCAGGAAACUCAACUGCACAAUUUUGUGGCAAUGGGGGACUGUGUUCACACUUCCCCCAU